GGGGGGCUGGCGCAAUUGGCUUAGCGCAUUAGAUUCCAGCGACGCAAAGCCGCGAGAUUCCUAAAGGUUAUCGGUUCAAGUCCGAUGUCCCUCA
Non-coding RNA from Dactylonectria macrodidyma, 94 nucleotides. The record is from the annotation of a GenBank genome assembly. NCBI's taxonomy places the organism in Eukaryota, Fungi, Ascomycota, Sordariomycetes, Hypocreales, Nectriaceae.